RNAcentral lists this unclassified non-coding RNA (315 nucleotides) under plant metagenome. RNAcentral's name for it is "partial contains 5.8S ribosomal RNA, internal transcribed spacer 2, and large subunit ribosomal RNA". The stretch from base 1 to 105 matches the Rfam family "5.8S ribosomal RNA", at positions 50 to 154 of the family's 154-position model. The record is from RNAcentral.
GAACUGCGAUAAGUAAUGUGAAUCGCAGAAUUCAGUGAAUCAUCGAGUCUUUGAACGCACAUUGCGCCCCCUGGCAUUCCGGGGGGCAUGCCUGUCCGAGCGUCAUUGCUGCCCUUCAAGCCCGGCUUGUGUGUUGGGUCGUCGUCCCCUCCGGGGGACGGGCCCGAAAGGCAGCGGCGGCACCGCGUCCGGUCCUCGAGCGUAUGGGGCUUUGUCACCCGCUCGAUAAGGACCGGCCGGGCGCCAGCCGGCGUCUCCAACCUUUUUUUCUCAGGUUGACCUCGGAUCAGGUAGGGAUACCCGCUGAACUUAAGC